UGGGGAAUAUUGGACAAUGGGCGAAAGCCUGAUCCAGCCAUGCCGCGUGUGUGAAGAAGGUCUUCGGAUUGUAAAGCACUUUAAGUUGGGAGGAAGGGCAGUAAGCGAAUACCUUGCUGUUUUGACGUUACCGACAGAAUAAGCACCGGCUAACUCUGUGCCAGCAGCCGCGGUAAUACAGAGGGUGCAAGCGUUAAUCGGAAUUACUGGGCGUAAAGCGCGCGUAGGGGGUUCGUUAAGUUGAAUGUGAAAGCCCCGGGCUCAACCUGGGAACUGCAUCCAAAACUGGCGAGCUAGAGUAGGGCAGAGGGUGGUGGAAUUUCCUGUGUAGCGGUGAGAUGCGUAGAUAUAGGAAGGAACACCAGUGGCGAAGGCGACCACCUGGGCUCAUACUGACACUGAGGUGCGAAAGCGUGGGGCGCAAACAGG
This 429-nucleotide ribosomal RNA is filed under the name Pseudomonadota bacterium. RNAcentral describes it as "Proteobacteria bacterium partial 16S ribosomal RNA". It matches the Rfam family "Bacterial small subunit ribosomal RNA", at positions 355 to 776 of the family's 1533-position model. The record is from RNAcentral. Lineage: Bacteria; Pseudomonadati; Pseudomonadota.